CCUUCGAUAGCUCAGUUGGAAGAGCGUGGGACUGUAAUUGGAUACCCAAGUAUCAUCCCAAGGUCACUGGUUCGACCCCGGUUCGAAGGA
Non-coding RNA from Panus rudis PR-1116 ss-1, 90 nucleotides. The record is from the annotation of a GenBank genome assembly. Lineage: Eukaryota; Fungi; Basidiomycota; Agaricomycetes; Polyporales; Panaceae.